AGUUGAAGUGUGGGUGAUCGCUGUUGUGAGACUUCGGUCUCUCGACAGUAAGUCACCCCCUUCCAGUAUCCAGUAGUGGGUAUUCAGUUACUUACUAUUGUGUGUUGGUCCUUUACUGUGAGAAAAUUAGAGUGUUCAAAGCAGGCGUUUGCUUGAAUAGAUUAGCAUGGAAUAAUAAUUGAAGGCUUUCGUGUUCGAUUUGAUUGGUUUGUUCAUGGAAGCAAGGUUAAAAGGAACAGUUGGGGGUAUUCAUAUUCACUAGUUAGAGGUGAAAUUCUCGGAUUUAUGGAAGAUGAACAAGUGCGAAA
This 308-nucleotide ribosomal RNA is filed under the name Blastocystis sp. NV-2012. Its description in RNAcentral is "SSU rRNA". It matches the Rfam family "Eukaryotic small subunit ribosomal RNA", at positions 632 to 950 of the family's 1831-position model. Lineage: Eukaryota; Bigyra; Opalinata; Blastocystidae. The record is from RNAcentral.